CCUCCCAACUUCCUGCAACCAGACACACUGUCUUUGCACGCUCCUUUGGUGCUCUUGUGAGAUCCAUGCUCGCGUUUUAACUCCAACAUAAGUGGAUUUAGAUUGGUGCUCUUCUGAGAUCCAUGCUCAUGUUCAUACCCCAUUUUCAUUUACUUUUGGAGACAUAGGUUACACACAAGCCGUAGUGAUUUGGUGUGGCUGCCAAGAUCGCAUUACUCUUAAGGCAAAUUCUUUGUGUACUGCAGGCGACGUAGAAAAUCCGAUGUGGGGUGCAAUAUAUUAUCCAAUUGAUCCACAUAGUCUCCUUUUCAAUACGUAUUUAAUACCUACAGAUUAUUUUUUUUUGUUUAAAAAUUUUAUAUGAUAAAAAUACCUCUAUUCUUUGAUAAAAUUAUAUCAUUCUAUGUUCAUAUUAUGACAUCUUGCAUCCAAAAAAUCAUAAAUUUUAUUCACAAAAUAUUAUA
RNAcentral lists this long non-coding RNA (464 nucleotides) under Elaeis guineensis (African oil palm). RNAcentral describes it as "long non-coding RNA (EGUI_LNC029562)". Lineage: Eukaryota; Viridiplantae; Streptophyta; Magnoliopsida; Arecales; Arecaceae. The record is from RNAcentral.